Molecule: ribosomal RNA, 844 nt
Filed under: uncultured bacterium
Lineage: Bacteria
Description: bacterial SSU rRNA
Rfam family: Bacterial small subunit ribosomal RNA
Source: RNAcentral
GGAUCCAGACUUUGAUCAUGGCUCAGGAUGAACGCUAGCGACAGGCUUAACACAUGCAAGUCGAGGGGCAGCAUGAUUUGUAGCAAUACAGAUUGAUGGCGACCGGCGCACGGGUGAGUAACGCGUAUGCAACUUACCUAUCAGAGGGGGAUAGCCCGGCGAAAGUCGGAUUAAUACCCAUAAAACAGGGGUCCCGCAUGGGGAUAUUUGUUAAAGAUUCAUCGCUGAUAGAUAGGCAUGCGUUCCAUUAGGCAGUUGGCGGGGUAACGGCCCACCAAACCGACGAUGGAUAGGGGUUCUGAGAGGAAGGUCCCCCACAUUGGUACUGAGACACGGACCAAACUCCUACGGGAGGCAGCAGUGAGGAAUAUUGGUCAAUGGCCGAGAGGCUGAACCAGCCAAGUCGCGUGAAGGAAGAAGGAUCUAUGGUUUGUAAACUUCUUUUAUAGGGGAAUAAAGUGAAGGACGUGUCCUUUUUUGUAUGUACCCUAUGAAUAAGCAUCGGCUAACUCCGUGCCAGCAGCCGCGGUAAUACGGAGGAUGCGAGCGUUAUCCGGAUUUAUUGGGUUUAAAGGGUGCGUAGGUGGUGAUUUAAGUCAGCGGUGAAAGUUUGUGGCUCAACCAUAAAAUUGCCGUUGAAACUGGGUUACUUGAGUGUGUUUGAGGUAGGCGGAAUGCGUGGUGUAGCGGUGAAAUGCAUAGAUAUCACGCAGAACUCCGAUUGCGAAGGCAGCUUACUAAACCAUAACUGACACUGAAGCACGAAAGCGUGGGGAUCAAACAGGAUUAGAUACCCUGGUAGUCCACCGCAGUAAACGAUGAUUACUAGGAGUUUGCGAUAACA